This 292-nucleotide ribosomal RNA is filed under the name uncultured bacterium. RNAcentral's name for it is "partial 16S ribosomal RNA". It matches the Rfam family "Bacterial small subunit ribosomal RNA", at positions 505 to 796 of the family's 1533-position model. The record is from RNAcentral.
GUGUCAGCAGCCGCGGUAAUACAGAGGUCUCAAGCGUUGUUCGGAUUCAUUGGGCGUAAAGGGUGCGUAGGCGGCGAGGCAAGUCUGGUGUGAAAUCCCGGGGCUCAACCCCGGAACUGCACUGGAUACUGCUUUGCUAGAGUACUGGAGAGGGAACUGGAAUUUACGGUGUAGCAGUGAAAUGCGUAGAUAUCGUAAGGAAGACCAGCGGCGAAGGCGAGUUCCUGGACAGUUACUGACGCUGAGGCACGAAGGCCAGGGGAGCAAACGGGAUUAGAUACCCCAGUAGUCC